UACAGAGGGUGCGAGCGUUAAUCGGAAUUACUGGGCGUAAAGCGCGCGUAGGCGGCUUUUCAAGUCGGUUGUGAAAUCCCCGGGCUUAACCUGGGAACUGCAGUCGAGACUGUCUAGCUAGAGUAUGGGAGAGGGAAGUGGAAUUUCAGGGGUAGCGGUGAAAUGCGUAGAUAUCUGAAGGAACAUCAGUGGCGAAAGCGACUUCCUGGACCAAUACUGACGCUCAUGUGCGAAAGCGUGGGGAGCAAACAGG
Molecule: ribosomal RNA, 253 nt
Filed under: uncultured bacterium
Lineage: Bacteria
Description: partial 16S ribosomal RNA
Rfam family: Bacterial small subunit ribosomal RNA
Source: RNAcentral